CAUCAACAUCUUCAACACAGACUCUUCCCACAAUCGAUGUUUUCACCGGAAAAUCAAAUUCAGGCAGAUUCAGUGGCAUCUAUAUUCCAAACUCUUUCUCCACCUUGAUAAUCAGCUUGCAUGUCUUUAUCUGCCGUGAAUCCAUCAUAGUCGUUCUCCGUCGUUUCCGUCGCAAUAGUCGUAAACAACUUCCUUUCUCAUUUGGCUAUAUAUUCUUCUACUGUGUUUUAUCGCUUAUAUGGUUGACAUGCAUUAGCUAUUUGAAGUUUUCUCAUCAUGCUUUUUCUGGGUUUCUAUAGAAGUUUUGAUCACAAUAGCUUGUUGAUUUCACCAUGUGAAGUAAACUGAUGUCUUAGUUUUGCCAUUUUUUUUGCUAAGCUCUUUGUUUUGCCAUUUAUCUUUGCUCUCUGUUGAUUUUGUUGUUGUCGCUAUGCUCUUUUUUUUCGCUAAGCUCUUUGUUUUGCCAUUUGUCUUUGCUCUCUGUUUAUUUUGUUGUUGUUUGUUCAAAGUUUUGAAACUUUAAAAUGUUUGUUCUCAUAUGAUAUACUCGUUUGCCAGUUCCAAGCUUUAGCGGAUCACCUUUUCCGCAAUCCAGAUUACCAUAAACAAGUUAGGAAGCACAUUGUAAAGCAGGUAUGGACAAGGAACUUCCGAAACUGCUUUUCGAGCCUGGUUUUGUGAAUGAUAUUGACAAGAUCAAUAAUCGAUGCAUUCUUAACACAAUGGACCCCGUUAAGAAAGCACUUUCAGAAGAAUACAAAAGAGUUCUGCUAGACCCUGUCUUUGGACCUGUUUUGUCGAUUAUCGAGAACGACAUGGGAUUUUCAGGGCGACUAAUCCAUAGCUUUCUGUGUAAGGAGCUCAUCACUGACAAGAAACACAAGCUAUGGUUCGUGUUUGCGGGGAGACCUCUUCGAUUUUCUCUGCAAGAAUUUCAUGCGAUUACUGGACUGAACACGGAAGACGAUAAGACUUGUGAUUUCAGUGAUUGGGUUGAUGAUGGCGGGUUCUGGAGUAAGUUGUUGAGAAGCAAACGUGGAAUUACUUUGGCUAACAUAGAAACUGAGUAUCUUGGGUGUGUCAACAAAUGGAUGCGUGAAGACAGGUUGCGGUUAGUGUACUUGUAUGUUAUUGCUUCUCUGGUAAUGGCAAAGAGCAAGACCAUUAAUAUCCCAAAAGAAUAUAUCAUUCUUGUUAUGGAUCUGGAGAAGCUACGGAAGUACCCAUGGGGACGUGUAGCGUUUGAUUUUCUAGUGCAGAGUAUCAAGAAAGUUCGUGUGAAAUUGACGCAAUCUACAGGCUAUGCACUGAAUGGCUUCUCAAUAGCUUUUCAAAUCUGGAUCAUGGAGGCAAUUCCCGUUCUCGGAUAUAUGCUGUCUUCAAGAUUGGACGAUGUGAUCGCUGGUGUUGCUAGAUGCUUUAAGUGGAACGGCAUUAGCUAUGUGAAAAUUUCAGAUAUUAAGCAUAUCGAACAUACGUUUUGCACGAAGGAGAAGCUCUAUCACUAUAUCUCUUCCACUGGGAAUGAUGAUGUCGUUGAUUCUUUGGACUUUGUAUGGCCUAAUGAAAUGGCUGACGCAAGAGUGGAUCUUCUUAAAACAAUGAUCAAUGAUGGAAUAGAUUGGAGUCACCAUAAUUGGGCGGUAGAAGAAGCCAUACCUGCAACUCUUGACAAGAUUUAGAAAGCAACAGAUGAAGAGAAUGAGAAUGUCGCAGAAGAAAGCCAAUUCAGGACACCACCUGCUGUAGGUAGCUCAGUUGCAGGUUUGAGUCGAGGAAAGAAAAGGGUCGCUGAACCUGGUGCAGAAACACGGAAGCAGAAGAUGAUGUGCGAGCGAUCAGCUGCGAAAGCCAUCGAUGAGGACUUUAAGUCUUUUAUCCAAGGACUUUUGCAGACCUCGUUAAAAGCUUUGGAGGAGAGACUUCAGAUGAAGAUUGAUAGUCGAGUAGAGCUAUUGGAGAAGAAAAUGGAAAACAUAGUGGAGAUGCUUGAGUCGAAGAUUAUCGAACCCAUCCAAGCAGGUGGAUUCACUACUGCUACUCUCACCGCAGCAAAAUCACUAUCUGGCACAGCCGGUGACGUUCCUUUACCGGCAAAAACAUCUACCAAUGAUGUUCCCAUAUUUGCAGCAAAAUCACUAUAUGGCACAGCCGUUGACGUUCCUUUACCGGCAAAAACAUAUACCAAUGAUGUUCCCAUCUUUGCAGCAAAAUCACUAUCUGGCACAGCUGGUGACAUUUCUUUACCGGCAAAAACAUCUACCAGUGUCAUCCCUUUAGCUGCUAAAGCGUCAACAAUUGCCGCCUCCAAAUCCAUAACAAGGUCAGCAGGUGCUAUUCUAAGCAUUGGGGAGACUUCGCACCCUUCCAAAAAGGUAAGGAAGUGCAGAAAUACUAAGACCUGAUGCCCUAGAAUCAAAAAUAAUGUCUUUUUUUUAGGCU
This is an RNA transcript of Eutrema salsugineum, 2442 nucleotides long. RefSeq lists it as uncharacterized. The record is from RefSeq and is a predicted model, not a curated record. The transcript has 7 exons. Lineage: Eukaryota; Viridiplantae; Streptophyta; Magnoliopsida; Brassicales; Brassicaceae.